AGUGAACGCUGGCGGUAGGCCUAACACAUGCAAGUCGAACGGCAGCACAGUAAGAGCUUGCUCUUACGGGUGGCGAGUGGCGGACGGGUGAGGAAUACAUCGGAAUCUACUUUUUCGUGGGGGAUAACGUAGGGAAACUUACGCUAAUACCGCAUACGACCUACGGGUGAAAGCAGGGGAUCUUCGGACCUUGCGCGAUUGAAUGAGCCGAUGUCGGAUUAGCUAGUUGGCGGGGUAAAGGCCCACCAAGGCGACGAUCCGUAGCUGGUCUGAGAGGAUGAUCAGCCACACGGGAACUGAGACACGGUCCAGACUCCGACGGGAGGCAGCAGGGGGGAAUAUUGGACAAGGGGCGCAAGCCUGAUCCAGCCAUACCGCGUGGGUGAAGAAGGCCUGCGGGUUGUAAAGCCCUUUUGUUGGGAAAGAAAAGCAGCAGGUUAAUACCCCGCUGUUCGGACGGUACCCAAAGAAUAAGCACCGGCGAACCUCGG
Molecule: ribosomal RNA, 491 nt
Filed under: uncultured bacterium
Lineage: Bacteria
Description: partial 16S ribosomal RNA
Rfam family: Bacterial small subunit ribosomal RNA
Source: RNAcentral